RNAcentral lists this ribosomal RNA (1494 nucleotides) under Lactiplantibacillus pentosus. RNAcentral describes it as "bacterial SSU rRNA". It matches the Rfam family "Bacterial small subunit ribosomal RNA". Lineage: Bacteria; Bacillati; Bacillota; Bacilli; Lactobacillales; Lactobacillaceae. The record is from RNAcentral.
GACGAACGCUGGCGGCGUGCCUAAUACAUGCAAGUCGAACGAACUCUGGUAUUGAUUGGUGCUUGCAUCAUGAUUUACAUUUGAGUGAGUGGCGAACUGGUGAGUAACACGUGGGAAACCUGCCCAGAAGCGGGGGAUAACACCUGGAAACAGAUGCUAAUACCGCAUAACAACUUGGACCGCAUGGUCCGAGUUUGAAAGAUGGCUUCGGCUAUCACUUUUGGAUGGUCCCGCGGCGUAUUAGCUAGAUGGUGGGGUAACGGCUCACCAUGGCAAUGAUACGUAGCCGACCUGAGAGGGUAAUCGGCCACAUUGGGACUGAGACACGGCCCAAACUCCUACGGGAGGCAGCAGUAGGGAAUCUUCCACAAUGGACGAAAGUCUGAUGGAGCAACGCCGCGUGAGUGAAGAAGGGUUUCGGCUCGUAAAACUCUGUUGUUAAAGAAGAACAUAUCUGAGAGUAACUGUUCAGGUAUUGACGGUAUUUAACCAGAAAGCCACGGCUAACUACGUGCCAGCAGCCGCGGUAAUACGUAGGUGGCAAGCGUUGUCCGGAUUUAUUGGGCGUAAAGCGAGCGCAGGCGGUUUUUUAAGUCUGAUGUGAAAGCCUUCGGCUCAACCGAAGAAGUGCAUCGGAAACUGGGAAACUUGAGUGCAGAAGAGGACAGUGGAACUCCAUGUGUAGCGGUGAAAUGCGUAGAUAUAUGGAAGAACACCAGUGGCGAAGGCGGCUGUCUGGUCUGUAACUGACGCUGAGGCUCGAAAGUAUGGGUAGCAAACAGGAUUAGAUACCCUGGUAGUCCAUACCGUAAACGAUGAAUGCUAAGUGUUGGAGGGUUUCCGCCCUUCAGUGCUGCAGCUAACGCAUUAAGCAUUCCGCCUGGGGAGUACGGCCGCAAGGCUGAAACUCAAAGGAAUUGACGGGGGCCCGCGCAAGCGGUGGAGCAUGUGGUUUAAUUCGAAGCUACGCGAAGAACCUUACCAGGUCUUGACAUACUAUGCAAAUCUAAGAGAUUAGACGUUCCCUUCGGGGACAUGGAUACAGGUGGUGCAUGGUUGUCGUCAGCUCGUGUCGUGAGAUGUUGGGUUAAGUCCCGCAACGAGCGCAACCCUUAUUAUCAGUUGCCAGCAUUAAGUUGGGCACUCUGGUGAGACUGCCGGUGACAAGCCGGAGGAAGGUGGGGAUGACGUCAAAUCAUCAUGCCCCUUAUGACCUGGGCUACACACGUGCUACAAUGGAUGGUACAACGAGUUGCGAACUCGCGAGAGUAAGCUAAUCUCUUAAAGCCAUUCUCAGUUCGGAUUGUAGGCUGCAACUCGCCUACAUGAAGUCGGAAUCGCUAGUAAUCGCGGAUCAGCAUGCCGCGGUGAAUACGUUCCCGGGCCUUGUACACACCGCCCGUCACACCAUGAGAGUUUGUAACACCCAAAGUCGGUGGGGUAACCUCUUUUAGGAACCAGCCGCCUAAGGUGGGACAGAUGAUUAGGGUGAAG